UGGUGGAAGCCGCGCUGCGCCUGCCAUCUUAGCGUCCUGCCCUCACUCGGAGGGGAGGUGCUUGUUGGUGUUCUGUGGCUCGGUGGCGGGUGUUGGUGUCCCCGUACUGUCUUCGAGUUCUGCCUGUCCCCUGGGAGGAAGAGGAGGAGGUGGUGGUGGUGGGGAUCCCCGAGGCGCUCGGUUACCUGAGCGACAGUCUCUUCCAGGAGGGGUUGGGACCUGGAGGAGGUGGAGUGUGCUGCAGACCCCCUCAGCUGCAGCCUCUCCGUUUGUGAGGGCUCCAGUAGAUAUGGAAUGGUUCAGAAGAGCCAGUGGCUACCAGGAAUAUAGCUGGAAUUAAAGUCAUCAUGAAGUGGGGAGACGUUUCAAGUCUUCAAUUUUUCUGAAGCCCACACAUGAGAAAGAGAGCUGUCUGAAUACUUGCAGCCAGAAGUGGGUGAUACCUAACUCGUGUUUUUGUCAUUGAAAAGCGCCCUCAAAAGAGGGUUUCCUUCCUCUAAAGCUUUUGCAGGAGGGGAGACAAGCAAUAAGUACUCACUUUUAAAAACUUGCACAGGUUUGUGGUGUAGUUGUGCCACAAGAGAAAAUGUUAAGCCCUAU
Long non-coding RNA from Harpia harpyja (harpy eagle), 600 nucleotides. RefSeq lists it as uncharacterized. The transcript has 2 exons. NCBI's taxonomy places the organism in Eukaryota, Metazoa, Chordata, Aves, Accipitriformes, Accipitridae. The record is from RefSeq and is a predicted model, not a curated record.